Molecule: ribosomal RNA, 1362 nt
Filed under: uncultured Bordetella sp.
Lineage: Bacteria; Pseudomonadati; Pseudomonadota; Betaproteobacteria; Burkholderiales; Alcaligenaceae
Description: partial 16S-23S ribosomal RNA intergenic spacer
Rfam family: Bacterial small subunit ribosomal RNA
Source: RNAcentral
UUCGUUUCCAGAUUUACGUAUUGCUCGCGAAAGCGCCAGCUAAUACCGCAUACGCCCUUCGAGGAAAGCGGGGGACCUUCGGGCCUCGCACUAAUGCGACGGCCGAUAUCGGAUUAGCUAGUUGGUGGGGUAACGGCUCACCAAGGCGACGAUCCGUAGCUGGUUUGAGAGGACGACCAACCACACUGGGACUGAGACACAGCCCAGACUCCUACGGGAGGCAGCAGUGGGGAAUUUUGGACAAUGGGGAAACCUGAUCCAGCCAUCCCGCGUGUGCGAUGAAGGCCUUCGGGUUGUAAAGCACUUUUGGCAGGAAAGAAACGGCACGGGAUAAUACCCCGUGCAACUGACCAGUACCUGCAGAAUAAGCACCGGCCCCAACUACGUGCCAGCAGCCGCGGUAAUACGUAGGGUGCAAGCGUUAAUCGGAAUUACUGGGCGUAAAGCGUGCGCAGGCGGUUCCGGAAAGAAAAGAUGUGAAAUCCCAGAGCUUAACUUUGGAACUGCAUUUUUGCUACCGAGCUAGAGUGUGUCAGAGGAGGUGGAAUUCCGCGUGUAGCAGUGAAAUGCGUAGAUAUGCGGAAGACACACCGAUGGCGAAGGCAACCUGGGAUAACACUGACGCUCAUGCACGAAAGCGUGGGGAGCAAACAGGAUUGAAUACCCUGGUAGUCCACGCCCUAAACGAUUCAACUAGCUGUUGGGGCCUUCGGGCCUUGGUAGCGCAACUAACGCGUGAAGUUGACCGCCUGGGAAGUACGGUCGCAAGAUUAAAACUCAAAGGAAUUGACGGGGACCCGCACAAGCCGGUGGAUGAUGUGGAUUAAUUCGAUGCAACGCGAAAAACCUUACCUACCCUUGACAUGUCUGGAAUCCCGGGGUUGGGAGUGCUCGCAAGAGAACCGGAACACAGGUGCUGCAUGGCUGUCGUCAGCUCGUGUCGUGAGAUGUUGGGUUAAGUCCGCAACGAGCGCAACCCUUGUCAUUGGUUGCUACGAAAGGGCACUCUAAUGAGACUGCCGGUGACAAACCGGAGGAAGGUGGGGAUGACGUCAAGUCCUCAUGGCCCUUAUGGGUAGGGCUUCACACGUCAUACAAUGGUCGGGACAGAGGGUCGCCAACCCGCGAGGGCCAAUCCCAGAAACCGAUCGUAGUCUGGAUCAUGAUCUGCAACUCGACUGCGUGAAGUCGGAAUCGCUGAUAAUCGCGGAUCAGCAUGUCGCGGUGAAUACGUUCCCGGGUCUUGUACACACCGCCCGUCACACCAUGGGAGUGGGUUUUACCAGAAGUAGUUAGCCUAACCGUAAGGAGGGCGAUUACCACGGUAGGAUUCAUGACUGGGGUGAAGUCGUAACAAGGUAA